GGAGAGAUGGCAGAGUGGUCGAUCGCGCACGCUUGGAAAGCGUGUAAACCUCACGGUUUCAUGGGUUCGAAUCCCAUUCUCUCCACCA
Molecule: transfer RNA, 88 nt
Filed under: Pseudothioglobus singularis (SeqCode)
Lineage: Bacteria; Pseudomonadati; Pseudomonadota; Gammaproteobacteria; Pseudothioglobaceae (SeqCode)
Description: tRNA-Ser
Rfam family: tRNA
About the family: Transfer RNA (tRNA) molecules are approximately 80 nucleotides in length. Their secondary structure includes four short double-helical elements and three loops (D, anti-codon, and T loops).
Source: RNAcentral